UAGUAAAAAUUCUAUCCCUUGGUAUUCUUAUAAAUUGGUGUAGCGCACAAAAUAAUUAAAUAGUGACGUGGUUUGCCAUAUAUACCUCAAACUGACAUACAAAGACCAGUUUUUAACAGUGAAAAUAGAUAAAAUUUUUAAUA
Molecule: microRNA precursor, 143 nt
Filed under: Gossypium arboreum
Lineage: Eukaryota; Viridiplantae; Streptophyta; Magnoliopsida; Malvales; Malvaceae
Description: MIR7502 microRNA precursor family
Rfam family: MIR7502 microRNA precursor family
Source: Rfam by way of RNAcentral